Molecule: ribosomal RNA, 700 nt
Filed under: uncultured bacterium
Lineage: Bacteria
Description: bacterial SSU rRNA
Rfam family: Bacterial small subunit ribosomal RNA
Source: RNAcentral
GGGAUACCCGAGGGAAACUUCGGUUAAUACGGUAUAAGACCACACUACCGCAUGGUAGAGGGGUAAAAGGGGCAACCUGGUAUGAGAUGGACUCGCGUCGCAUUAGCUAGUUGGUGAGGUAACGGCCCACCAAGGCGACGAUGCGUAGCCGACCUGAGAGGGUGAUCGGCCACAUUGGGACUGAGAUACGGCCCAGACUCCUACGGGAGGCAGCAGUGGGGAAUAUUGGGCAAUGGAGGAAACUCUGACCCAGCAAUGCCGCGUGAAUGAAGAAGGUCUUCGGAUUGUAAAGUUCUUUAGUCAGGGAAGAAGUCAAUGACGGUACCUGAAGAAUAAGCUCCGGCUAACUACGUGCCAGCAGCCGCGGUAAUACGUAGGGAGCAAGCGUUGUUCGGAAUGACUGGGCGUAAAGGGUGCGUAGGCGGUUGUACAAGUUAGAAGUGAAAUACCCAGGGCUUAACUCGGGUGCUGCUUCUAAAACUGUAUGACUUGAGUGCAGCAGAGGUUAGUGGAAUUCCUAGUGUAGCGGUGGAAUGCGUAGAUAUUAGGAGGAACACCAGAGGCGAAGGCGGCUAACUGGACUGCAACUGACGCUGAGGCACGAAAGUGUGGGGAGCAAACAGGAUUAGAUACCCUGGUAGUCCACACUGUAAACGAUGGAUACUAGAUGUAGGAGGUAUCGACUCCUUCUGCGUCGCAG